GGAGGAAAAGAAACUAACAAGGAUUCCCCUAGUAACUGCGAGUGAAGCGGGAAAAGCUCAAAUUUAAAAUCUGGUAGUCUUUGGCUGCCCGAGUUGUAAUCUAGAGAAGCAUUAUCCGCGCUGGACCGUGUACAAGUGUCCUGGAAUGGACUAUCAUAGAGGGUGAGAAUCCCGUCUUUGACACGGACUCCCAGGGCUUUGUGAUGUGCUCUCAAAGAGUCGAGUUGUUUGGGAAUGCAGCUCUAAAUGGGUGGUAAAUUCCAUCUAAAGCUAAAUAUUGGCGAGAGACCGAUAGCGAACAAGUACCGUGAGGGAAAGAUGAAAAGAACUUUGGAAAGAGAGUUAAACAGUACGUGAAAUUGCUGAAAGGGAAACGCUUGAAGUCAGUCGCGUUGKCUGGGGAUCAACCUUGCUUCUUGCUUGGCUUACUUCCCAGUUGACGGGYCAGCAUCAGUUUUGACCAGUGGAUAAAGGUUAGGGGAAUGUGGCACCUCCGGGUGUGUUAUAGCCCUUGGUCAUAUACAUUGGUUGGGACUGA
RNAcentral lists this ribosomal RNA (538 nucleotides) under Termitomyces striatus f. subumbonatus. Its description in RNAcentral is "eukaryotic LSU rRNA". It matches the Rfam family "Eukaryotic large subunit ribosomal RNA", at positions 52 to 589 of the family's 3401-position model. Lineage: Eukaryota; Fungi; Basidiomycota; Agaricomycetes; Agaricales; Lyophyllaceae. The record is from RNAcentral.